This 275-nucleotide ribosomal RNA is filed under the name uncultured bacterium. RNAcentral describes it as "partial 16S ribosomal RNA". It matches the Rfam family "Archaeal small subunit ribosomal RNA", at positions 473 to 747 of the family's 1478-position model. The record is from RNAcentral.
AUACCGGCGGCCCGAGUGGUGGCCGCUAUUAUUGGGCCUAAAGCGUCCGUAGCCGGGCCUGUAAGUCCCUGGCGAAAUCCCACGGCUCAACCGUGGGGCUUGCUGGGGAUACUGCAGGCCUUGGGACCGGGAGAGGCCGGGGGUACCCCUGGGGUAGGGGUGAAAUCCUAUAAUCCCAGGGGGACCGCCAGUGGCGAAGGCGCCCGGCUGGAACGGGUCCGACGGUGAGGAACGAAGGCCAGGGGAGCGAACCGGAUUAGAAACCCUAGUAGUCC